GGUUCCAUGGUGUAGUGCGUUCAGCACUCAGGACUCUGAAUCCUGCCGGGACUGCCCGAGUUCAAAUCUCGGUGGGACCU
RNAcentral lists this transfer RNA (80 nucleotides) under Caenorhabditis remanei. Its description in RNAcentral is "tRNA-Gln (CTG) (tRNA-Gln-CTG-3-1)". It matches the Rfam family "tRNA". Rfam says of the family: Transfer RNA (tRNA) molecules are approximately 80 nucleotides in length. Their secondary structure includes four short double-helical elements and three loops (D, anti-codon, and T loops). Further hydrogen bonds mediate the characteristic L-shaped molecular structure. tRNAs have two regions of fundamental functional importance: the anti-codon, which is responsible for specific mRNA codon recognition, and the 3' end, to which the tRNAs corresponding amino acid is attached (by aminoacyl-tRNA synthetases). tRNAs cope with the degeneracy of the genetic code in two manners: having more than one tRNA (with a specific anti-codon) for a particular amino acid; and 'wobble' base-pairing, i.e. permitting non-standard base-pairing at the 3rd anti-codon position. Lineage: Eukaryota; Metazoa; Nematoda; Chromadorea; Rhabditida; Rhabditidae. The record is from Rfam by way of RNAcentral.